GACGAACGCUGGCGGCGUGCUUAACACAUGCAAGUCGAACGAAGAGCGAUGGAAGCUUGCUUCUAUCAAUCUUAGUGGCGAACGGGUGAGUAACGCGUAAUCAACCUGCCCUUCAGAGGGGGACAACAGUUGGAAACGACUGCUAAUACCGCAUACGAUCUAAUCUCGGCAUCGAGGAUAGAUGAAAGGUGGCCUCUACAUGUAAGCUAUCACUGAAGGAGGGGAUUGCGUCUGAUUAGCUAGUUGGAGGGGUAACGACCCACCAAGGCGAUGAUCAGUAGCCGGUCUGAGAGGAUGAACGGCCACAUUGGGACUGAGACACGGCCCAGACUCCUACGGGAGGCAGCAGUGGGGAAUCUUCCGCAAUGGACGAAAGUCUGACGGAGCAACGCCGCGUGAGUGAUGACGGCCUUCGGGUUGUAAAGCUCUGUUAAUCGGGACGAAAGGCCUUCUUGCGAAUAGUGAGAAGGAUUGACGGUACCGGAAUAGAAAGCCACGGCUAACUACGUG
This 510-nucleotide ribosomal RNA is filed under the name uncultured bacterium. RNAcentral describes it as "partial 16S ribosomal RNA". It matches the Rfam family "Bacterial small subunit ribosomal RNA", at positions 28 to 507 of the family's 1533-position model. The record is from RNAcentral.